AUUGAACGCUGGCGGCAGGCCUAACACAUGCAAGUCGAACGAGUGGCGGACGGGUGAGUAAUGUAUGGGAAACUGCCCGAUGGAGGGGGAUAACUACUGGAAACGGUAGCUAAUACCGCAUACCAUCGGAUGUGCCCAGAUGGGAUUAGCUAGUAGGUGGGGUACCGGCUCACCUAGGCGACGAUCCCUAGCUGGCCUGAGAGGAUGACCGGCCACACUGGAACUGAGACACGGUCCAGACUCCUACGGGAGGCAGCAGUGGGGAAUAUUGCACAAUGGGCGCAAGCCUGAUGCAGCCAUGCCGCGUGUAGGAAGAAGGUCUUCGGAUUGUAAAGUACUUUCAGCGAGGAGGCGUUACUCACAGAAGAAGCAACGGCUAACUCCGUGCCAGCAGCCGCGGUAAUAC
RNAcentral lists this ribosomal RNA (406 nucleotides) under uncultured bacterium. RNAcentral's name for it is "partial 16S ribosomal RNA". It matches the Rfam family "Bacterial small subunit ribosomal RNA", at positions 30 to 526 of the family's 1533-position model. The record is from RNAcentral.